CAAGACGUAGCUAAACAAAAGCAUUCAGCUAACACCUGAAAGAUAUCUGUCAUCACCCGAUCGUCUUGA
RNAcentral lists this transfer RNA (69 nucleotides) under Turnix sylvaticus (Andalusian buttonquail). Its description in RNAcentral is "tRNA-Val". The record is from RNAcentral. Lineage: Eukaryota; Metazoa; Chordata; Aves; Charadriiformes; Turnicidae.